CAGGGAACAACUAUCAACUAGUUUGAAAAGUUCUUCCAUUUAGUAAUGGAAGUCAUCCGUUGUCACUUUCUAAGGGUAUGGUAGAGAGGCUUGAGAAGGUGGACAAUCCUUCAGUGAAGACCUAACGAGAGGCUGAAUUCAAACACACCCAAAAUCCACAAGAAUCGUACGAACAUCUAUGGAGCGUAGCAAGGUAUGGUAGAGAGGCUUGAGAAGGUGGAAAAUCCUUCAGUGAAGACUUAACGAGAGGCUGAAUUCAAACAUACCCAAAAUCCACAAGAAUCGUAAGAACAUCUAUGGAGCGUAGCUAGGAACCUUGGCUUCAGCUCUC
This 331-nucleotide long non-coding RNA is filed under the name Nicotiana benthamiana. Its description in RNAcentral is "long non-coding RNA (NBEN_LNC007323)". Lineage: Eukaryota; Viridiplantae; Streptophyta; Magnoliopsida; Solanales; Solanaceae. The record is from RNAcentral.